UACGUAGGUGGCAAGCGUUGUCCGGAUUUAUUGGGUUUAAAGGGUCCGUAGGCGGUCCCGUAAGUCAGUGGUGAAAGCCCAUCGCUCAACGGUGGAACGGCCAUUGAUACUGCUGGACUUGAAUUACUGGGAAGCAACUAGAAUAUGUAGUGUAGCGGUGAAAUGCUUAGAGAUUACAUGGAAUACCAAUUGCGAAGGCAGGUUGCU
Molecule: ribosomal RNA, 207 nt
Filed under: uncultured prokaryote
Description: partial 16S ribosomal RNA
Rfam family: Bacterial small subunit ribosomal RNA
Source: RNAcentral